This 119-nucleotide ribosomal RNA is filed under the name Pteropus alecto (black flying fox). The record is from RNAcentral. Lineage: Eukaryota; Metazoa; Chordata; Mammalia; Chiroptera; Pteropodidae.
GUCUAUGGCCAUGCCACCCUAAAUAAGCCCGAUCCCAUCUAAUCUCAGAAGCUAAGCAGGGUCGGGCCUAAUUAGUACUUGGAUAGGAGACCCCUUAGGAAGACCAGGUGCUGUAGGCG